UUGUACACACCGCCCGUCACACCAUGGGAGUGGGUUGCAAAAGAAGUAGGUAGCUUAACCUUCGGGAGGGCGCUUACCACUUUGUGAUUCAUGACUGGGGUGAAGUCGUAACAAGGUAACCGUAGGGGAACCUGCGGUUGGAUCACCUCCUUACCUAAAGAUAUCCUGACUGUGCAGUGUCCACACAGAUUGUCUGAUGAAAAAGUAACGAGCAGAAAUACCUUUAUAGGCUUGUAGCUCAGGUGGUUAGAGCGCACCCCUGAUAAGGGUGAGGUCGGUGGUUCAAGUCCACUCAGGCCUACCACUUCUCUCCUAUGCUGCGUUAUGGCGCCGCUCGCAUAUUUCAAUAUGCGUCGCGACACCACGCCUUGCCUAGAAGAGAAGUAGUAAACCGAAGGUCUCUGUUAGUGACUGUAUGGGGCUAUAGCUCAGCUGGGAGAGCGCCUGCCUUGCACGCAGGAGGUCAGCGGUUCGAUCCCGCUUAGCUCCACCAUAUAAGUCCGAAAAUCAAUACUUCAGAGUAUAUUGGCAACAGUAUGCUGCGAAGUAUUUUGCUCUUUAACAAUCUGGAACAAGCUGAAAAUUGAAACAUGGCAGCUGAAACUUGUCCCCCGUAGAAGUCCGGGAUGAGGAGUAACCUGUCAUAGAGUCUCUCAAAUGUAGCAAUGCGACGAUGUCGGAAGACACCUUCGGGUUGUGAGGUUAAGUGACUAAGCGUACACGGUGGAUGCCUAGGCAGUCAGAGGCGAUGAAGGGCGUGCUAAUCUGCGAAAAGCGUCGGUAAGGUGAUAUGAACCGUUA
RNAcentral lists this unclassified non-coding RNA (801 nucleotides) under Serratia odorifera. RNAcentral describes it as "partial contains 16S ribosomal RNA, 16S-23S ribosomal RNA intergenic spacer, and 23S ribosomal RNA". The stretch from base 1 to 153 matches the Rfam family "Bacterial small subunit ribosomal RNA", at positions 1381 to 1533 of the family's 1533-position model. Lineage: Bacteria; Pseudomonadati; Pseudomonadota; Gammaproteobacteria; Enterobacterales; Yersiniaceae. The record is from RNAcentral.